UCCUGGCUCAGAGUGAACGCUGGCGGCAGGCCUAAUACAUGCAAGUCGAACGGCAGCACAGCUUAAGCUUGCUUAAGUGGGUGGCGAGUGGCGGACGGGUGAGGAAUACAUGGGAAUCUGCCCAGUCGUGGGGGAUAACGUAUGGAAACGUACGCUAAUACCGCAUGCGCCCUACGGGGGAAAGCCGGGGACCUUCGGGCCUGGCGCGAUUGGAUGAGCCCAUGUUCGAUUAGCUAGUUGGCGGGGUAAAGGCCCACCAAGGCGACGAUCGAUAGCUGGUCUGAGAGGAUGAUCAGCCACACUGGGACUGAGACACGGCCCAGACUCCUACGGGAGGCAGCAGUAGGGAAUAUUGGACAAUGGGCGCAAGCCUGAUCCAGCCAUGCCGCGUGAGUGAAGAAGGCCCUCGGGUUGUAAAGCUCUUUUGUCCGGAAAGAAAAGCAUUCGGUUAAUACCCGGGUGUUCUGACGGUACCGGAAGAAUAAGCACCGGCUAACUUC
This 500-nucleotide ribosomal RNA is filed under the name uncultured bacterium. RNAcentral's name for it is "bacterial SSU rRNA". It matches the Rfam family "Bacterial small subunit ribosomal RNA", at positions 17 to 504 of the family's 1533-position model. The record is from RNAcentral.